This 253-nucleotide ribosomal RNA is filed under the name uncultured bacterium. RNAcentral's name for it is "partial 16S ribosomal RNA". It matches the Rfam family "Bacterial small subunit ribosomal RNA", at positions 524 to 776 of the family's 1533-position model. The record is from RNAcentral.
UACGUAGGGGGCAAGCGUUGUCCGGAUUUAUUGGGCGUAAAGCGCUCGCAGGUGGUUCGUUGCGUCGUGCGUGAAAGCCCCGGGCUCAACCUGGGAAUGGCGAUGGAUACUGGCGGGCUAGAGUGCGGUAGAGGAGAGUGGAAUUCCCGGUGUAGCAGUGAAAUGCGUAGAGAUCGGGAGGAACAUCAGUUGCGAAGGCGGCUCUCUGGACCAGCACUGACACUGAGGCACGAAAGCGUGGGGAGCAAACAGG